Molecule: unclassified non-coding RNA, 334 nt
Filed under: soil metagenome
Description: partial contains 5.8S ribosomal RNA, internal transcribed spacer 2, and large subunit ribosomal RNA
Rfam family: 5.8S ribosomal RNA (bases 1-120)
Source: RNAcentral
GAUGAAGAACGCAGCGAAAUGCGAUAAGUAAUGUGAAUUGCAGAAUUCAGUGAAUCAUCGAAUCUUUGAACGCACAUUGCGCCCGCCAGUAUUCUGGCGGGCAUGCCUGUUCGAGCGUCAUUUCAACCAUCAAGCCCCCGGCUUGUGUUGGGGACCUGCGGCUGCCGCAGGCCCUGAAAAGCAGUGGCGGGCUCGCUGUCACACCGAGCGUAGUAGCAUACAUCUCGCUCUGGGCGUGCUGCGGGUUCCGGCCGUUAAACCCCCUUCAUAACCCAAGGUUGACCUCGGAUCAGGUAGGAAGACCCGCUGAACUUAAGCAUAUCAUAGCGGAGGA